CCUACGGGAGGCUGCAGUCGAGAAUCAUUCACAAUGGGGGAAACCCUGAUGGUGCGACGCCGCGUGGGGGAAUGAAGGUCUUCGGAUUGUAAACCCCUGUCAUGUGGGAGCAAAUUAAAAAGAUCGUACCACAAGAGGAAGAGACGGCUAACUCUGUUCCACCAGCCGCGGUAAUACAGAGGUCUCAAGCGUUGUUCGGAAUCACUGGGCGUAGAGCGUGCGUAGGCUGUUUCGUAAGUCGUGUGUGAAAGGCGCGGGCACAAACCGCGGACGGCACAUGAUACUGCGAGACUAGAGUUAUGGAGGGGGAAGCGGAAUUCGCGGUGUAGCAGUGAAAUGCGUAGAUAGCGAGAGGAACAC
RNAcentral lists this ribosomal RNA (360 nucleotides) under uncultured bacterium. Its description in RNAcentral is "partial 16S ribosomal RNA". It matches the Rfam family "Bacterial small subunit ribosomal RNA", at positions 338 to 709 of the family's 1533-position model. The record is from RNAcentral.